ACUCAAAUGAAUUGACGGGGACCCGCACAAGCGGUGGAGCGUGUGGUUUAAUUCGAUACUAAGCGAAGAACCUUACCUAGGUUUGACAUCUCUGGAAAGCUCUGGAAACAGAGCCGUGCCGCAAGGAGCCAGAUGACAGGUGCUGCACGGUUGUCGUCAGCUCGUGCUGUGAAGUGUCCCGUUCAGUCGGUCAACGAGCGCAACCCACAUCCUGUGUUAAAUUUUUCACAGGGAACUGCCUCAGUUAAUGGGGAGGAAGGUGUGGAUGACGUCAAAUCAGCGUGGCCCUUACACCUAGGGCGACACACGCGCUACAAUGGAUAGUAACAAUGGGUUGCCAAGCCGCAAGGCGGAGCUAAUCCCAACAAACCUAUCCUCAGUUCGGAUUGGAGGCUGCAACUCGCCUCCAUGAAGUCGGAAUCGCUAGUAACGGCCGGUCAGCCAUACGGCCGUGAAUACGUUCUCGGGUCUUGUACACACCGCCCGU
Molecule: ribosomal RNA, 487 nt
Filed under: uncultured bacterium
Lineage: Bacteria
Description: partial 16S ribosomal RNA
Rfam family: Bacterial small subunit ribosomal RNA
Source: RNAcentral